GAUAGUAAUGCUCUUUUGUCAGGAGAAGAACGGAUGAGAAGUUAAUUUCUCCCGCUAUGACGUACCUGAAGAAUUAGCACGGGCUACUACGUGCAGCAGCGCGUAAUACGUAGGGUGCAAGCGUUAUCGGAAUUACUGGGCGUAAAGCGUGCGCAGCGUUUUGUAAGUCUGAUGUGAAAUCCCCGGGCUCACCUGGGAAUUGCAUUGAGACUGCAAGGCUAGAAUCUGGCAGAGGGGGGUAGAAUUCCACGUGUAGCAGUGAAAUGCGUAGAGAUGUGGAGGAACACCGAUGGCGAAGGCAGCCCCCUGGGUCAAGAUUGACGCUCAUGCACGAAAGCGUGGGGAGCAAACAGGAUUAGAUACCCUGGUAGUCCACGCCCUAAACGAUGUCUACUAGUUGUCGGGUUUUAAUUAACUUGGUAACGCAGCUAACGCGUGAAGUAGACCGCCUGGGGAGUACGGUCGCAAGAUUAAAACUCAAAGGAAUUGACGGGGACCCGCACAAGCGGUGGAUGAUGUGGAUUAAUUCGAUGCAACGCGAAAAACCUUACCUACCCUUGACAUGGCAGGAAUCCCGAAGAGAUUUGGGAGUGCUCGAAAGAGAACCUGCACACAGGUGCUGCAUGGCUGUCGUCAGCUCGUGUCGUGAGAUGUUGGGUUAAGUCCCGCAACGAGCGCAACCCUUGUCAUUAGUUGCUACGAAAGAGCACUCUAAUGAGACUGCCGGUGACAAACCGGAGGAAGGUGGGGAUGACGUCAAGUCCUCAUGGCCCUUAUGGGUAGGGCUUCACACGUCAUAUAAUGGUACAUACAGAGGGCCGCCAACCCGCGAGGGGGAGCUAAUCCCGGAAAGUGUAUCGUAGUCCGGAUUGUAGUCUGCAACUCGACUACAUGAAGUUGGAAUCGCUAGUAAUCGCGGAUCAGCAUGUCGCGGUGAAUACGUUCCCGGGUCUUGUACACACCGCCCGUCACACCAUGGGAGCGGGUUUUACCAGAAGUAGGUAGCUUAACCGCAAGGAGGGCGCUUACCACGGUAGGAUUCGUGACUGGGGUGAAGUCGUAACAAGGUAGCCGUAUCGGAAGGUGCGGCUGGAUCACCUCCUUAAUCGGAUCCCGGGCCCGUCGACUGUC
This 1131-nucleotide ribosomal RNA is filed under the name uncultured bacterium. RNAcentral describes it as "bacterial SSU rRNA". It matches the Rfam family "Bacterial small subunit ribosomal RNA", at positions 421 to 1533 of the family's 1533-position model. The record is from RNAcentral.